This 558-nucleotide ribosomal RNA is filed under the name Burkholderia sp. Its description in RNAcentral is "bacterial SSU rRNA". It matches the Rfam family "Bacterial small subunit ribosomal RNA", at positions 202 to 753 of the family's 1533-position model. The record is from RNAcentral. Lineage: Bacteria; Pseudomonadati; Pseudomonadota; Betaproteobacteria; Burkholderiales; Burkholderiaceae.
UCUUCGGACCUCGUGCUAUAGGGGCGGCCGAUGGCAGAUUAGCUAGUUGGUGGGGUAAAGGCCCACCAAGGCGACGAUCUGUAGCUGGUCUGAGAGGACGACCAGCCACACUGGGACUGAGACACGGCCCAGACUCCUACGGGAGGCAGCAGUGGGGAAUUUUGGACAAUGGGGGCAACCCUGAUCCAGCAAUGCCGCGUGUGUGAAGAAGGCCUUCGGGUUGUAAAGCACUUUUGUCCGGAAAGAAAUCCUAGAGGCUAAUAUCCUGUGGGGAUGACGGUACCGGAAGAAUAAGCACCGGCUAACUACGUGCCAGCAGCCGCGGUAAUACGUAGGGUGCGAGCGUUAAUCGGAAUUACUGGGCGUAAAGCGUGCGCAGGCGGUUCGCUAAGACCGAUGUGAAAUCCCCGGGCUUAACCUGGGAACUGCAUUGGUGACUGGCGGGCUAGAGUAUGGCAGAGGGGGGUAGAAUUCCACGUGUAGCAGUGAAAUGCGUAGAGAUGUGGAGGAAUACCGAUGGCGAAGGCAGCCCCCUGGGCCAAUACUGACGCUCAUUCA